Acanthosepion pharaonis is the source of this 90-nucleotide non-coding RNA. The record is from the annotation of a GenBank genome assembly. Lineage: Eukaryota; Metazoa; Mollusca; Cephalopoda; Sepiida; Sepiidae.
CGAGUUCUCGUAUGUUCACUGAAGUUAAGCAACGUCGAGCCUGGUCAGUACCUAAAUGGGUGACCGCUUGAGAAUACCAGGUGCUGUAAU